Molecule: ribosomal RNA, 1312 nt
Filed under: Daldinia fissa
Lineage: Eukaryota; Fungi; Ascomycota; Sordariomycetes; Xylariales; Hypoxylaceae
Description: bacterial SSU rRNA
Rfam family: Eukaryotic small subunit ribosomal RNA (bases 1-1072)
Source: RNAcentral
GUCAUAUGCUUGUCUCAAAGAUUAAGCCAUGCAUGUCUAAGUAUAAGCAAUUUAUACUGCGAAACUGCGAAUGGCUCAUUAAAUCAGUUAUCGUUUAUUUGAUAGUACCUUACUACUUGGAUAACCGUGGUAAUUCUAGAGCUAAUACAUGCUAAAAACCCCGACUCGCGGAGGGGUGUAUUUAUUAGAUUAAAAACCAAUGCCCUUCGGGGCUCUUUGGUGAUUCAUAAUAACUUCUCGAAUCGCAUGGCCUUGCGCCGGCGAUGGUUCAUUCAAAUUUCUGCCCUAUCAACUUUCGAUGGCAGGGUCUUGGCCUGCCAUGGUUACAACGGGUAACGGAGGGUUAGGGCUCGACCCCGGAGAAGGAGCCUGAGAAACGGCUACUACAUCCAAGGAAGGCAGCAGGCGCGCUAAUUACCCAAUCCCGAUACGGGGAGGUAGUGACAAUAAAUACUGAUACAGGGCUCUUUUGGGUCUUGUAAUUGGAAUGAGUACAAUUUAAAUCCCUUAACGAGGAACAAUUGGAGGGCAAGUCUGGUGCCAGCAGCCGCGGUAAUUCCAGCUCCAAUAGCGUAUAUUAAAGUUGUUGCAGUUAAAAAGCUCGUAGUUGAACCUUGGGCCUGGCUGGCCGGUCCGCCUCACCGCGUGCACUGGUUCGGCCGGGCCUUUCCCUCUGGGGAACCCCAUGCCCUUCACUGGGUGUGGCGGGGAACCAGGACUUUUACUGUGAAAAAAUUAGAGUGUUCAAAGCAGGCCUAUGCUCGAAUACAUCAGCAUGGAAUAAUAGAAUAGGACGUGCGGUUCUAUUUUGUUGGUUUCUAGGACCGCCGUAAUGAUUAAUAGGGACAGUCGGGGGCAUCAGUAUUCAAUUGUCAGAGGUGAAAUUCUUGGAUUUAUUGAAGACUAACUACUGCGAAAGCAUUUGCCAAGGAUGUUUUCAUUAAUCAGGAACGAAAGUUAGGGGAUCGAAGACGAUCUUUACAGAUGCAAACCUUUCUGAUCAUAUGUUUGGUCACUAUUCUUUUAGUGGGUAUCUGGUCGUCAAUAGUUCAGUGAGAGCUGAGCUAGUCUGCUGAAAGUCAGUGGGCGACACCGUCAAAUUGCGGGGACAUCCUUAGAGCCUUUAUCACACCUUGCGGCUAGAAAUAGCAGUAAGUCGUAACAAGGUAACAGAUUGGACAAUCCGCAGCCAAGUCCGUAAAGCCUACCCUGUAGGCAGGAUGCAGUUCACAGACUAAAUGUCGGUGGGAGGUUUAGCCUCUUAAGAUAUAGUCGAAUCGUACCUGAAAGGGCUACGGAUACGUGAGAGGCC